AGCGGGAAGAGCUCAAAUUUGAAAUCUAGUAGCCUUCGGCUGCUCGAGUUGUAAUCUAGAGAAGUGUUUUCCGUGCCGGCCCAUGUACAAGUCCCUUGGAACAGGGCGUCAUAGAGGGUGAGAAUCCCGUCCUUGACAUGGACCCCCGGUGCUCUGUGAUACACUUUCAACGAGUCGAGUUGUUUGGGAAUGCAGCUCAAAAUGGGUGGUGAAUUCCAUCUAAAGCUAAAUAUUGGCGAGAGACCGAUAGCGAACAAGUACCGUGAGGGAAAGAUGAAAAGCACUUUGGAAAGAGAGUUAAACAGUACGUGAAAUUGUUGAAAGGGAAACGAUUGAAGUCAGUCAUGCUCUUUGGUAUUUAUAUCAUUGAGUGGGGUCAACAUCAGUUUUGAUCGAUGGAUAAAGGCACUAGGAAGGUAGCACUCUCGGGUGAACUUAUAGCCUGGCGUCAUAUACAUUGAUUGGGACUGAGGAACGCAGCAUGCCUUUAUGGCCGGGAUUCGUCCACGUACAUGCUUAGGAUGUUGACAUAAUGGCUUUAAACGACCCGUCUUGAA
RNAcentral lists this ribosomal RNA (557 nucleotides) under Naganishia liquefaciens. RNAcentral describes it as "partial large subunit ribosomal RNA". It matches the Rfam family "Eukaryotic large subunit ribosomal RNA", at positions 97 to 658 of the family's 3401-position model. Lineage: Eukaryota; Fungi; Basidiomycota; Tremellomycetes; Filobasidiales; Filobasidiaceae. The record is from RNAcentral.